This 45-nucleotide non-coding RNA is filed under the name Schistosoma margrebowiei. The record is from RNAcentral. Lineage: Eukaryota; Metazoa; Platyhelminthes; Trematoda; Strigeidida; Schistosomatidae.
AUUCAGCUGACGAGUCCCAAAUACGACGAAGCGCGCGUCCUGGAU